RNAcentral lists this ribosomal RNA (914 nucleotides) under uncultured crenarchaeote. RNAcentral's name for it is "bacterial SSU rRNA". It matches the Rfam family "Archaeal small subunit ribosomal RNA", at positions 1 to 922 of the family's 1478-position model. Lineage: Archaea; Thermoproteati; Thermoproteota. The record is from RNAcentral.
UUCCGGUUGAUCCUGCCGGACCUGACUGCUAUCGGAUUGAUACUAAGCCAUGCGAGUCAUUGUAGCAAUACAAGGCAGACGGCUCAGUAACGCGUAGUCAACCUACCCUAUGGACGGGAAUAACCUCGGGAAACUGAGAAUAAUGCCCGAUAGAACACUAUGCCUGGAAUGGUUUGUGUUCCAAAUGAUUUAUCGCCAUAGAAUGGGACUGCGGCCUAUCAGUUUGUUGGUGAGGUAAUGGCCCACCAAGACUAUUACAGGUACGGGCUCUGAGAGGAGUGGCCCGGAGAUGGGUACUGAGACACGGACCCAGGCCCUAUGGGGCGCAGCAGGCGAGAAAACUUUGCAAUGUGCGAAAGCACGACAAGGUUAAUCCGAGUGGUUUCUGCUAAAGGAACCUUUUGACAGUCCUAAAAACACUGUUGAAUAAGGGGUGGGCAAGUUCUGGUGUCAGCCGCCGCGGUAAAACCAGCACCUCAAGUGGUCAGGAUGAUUAUUGGGCCUAAAGCAUCCGUAGCCGGCUCUGUAAGUUUUCGGUUAAAUCUGUACGCUCAACGUACAGGCUGCUGGGAAUACUGCAGAGCUAGGGAGUGGGAGAGGUAGACGGUACUCGGGAGGAAGUGGUAAAAUGCUUUGAUCUCUCGAUGACCACCUGUGGCGAAGGCGGUCUACCAGAACACGUUCGACGGUGAGGGAUGAAAGCUGGGGGAGCAAACCGGAUUAGAUACCCGGGUAGUCCCAACCGUAAACUAUGCAAACUCAGUGAUGCGUUGGCUUAUGGCCAGCGCAGUGUUGCAGGGAAGCCGUUAAGUUUGCCGCCUGGGAAGUACGUACGCAAGUAUGAAACUUAAAGGAAUUGGCGGGGGAGCACCACAAGGGGUGAAGCCUGCGGUUCAAUUGGAGUCAACGCCGGG